ACGCGAGGCUUCCGCGUAAAAGCAAGCAGAGGAGAGAGGGUGUAGCUAUCAAAUCAAACAGAACAGACCUGGACACUGGAUCAUCUUAUCAGCUAAAGAAAUGCACAUCCUUUCUCAUCGUCUCCCUCUGCAAAAUCCCAGAUGUCCUCUACGCUUCUCAGAGGACUCCCUCAGAACCAGUUGCUUUACUUCUAUCCUCCCUCCCGUCUCUGCGAAGACUUUCAAGGAUCUCUCGGUGAAAUGCCGCCGCUCAGAAUACUUCGAACAGCAGAGGUUCACGAGACCUUCAGAAGACUCCUCCACUUCACAGUCUCCAGGAGCUUUGCCUCCGAGGGUUUUCGUUGGUCAUUCUAUAUACAAGGGGAAGGCAGCUCUAACAGUAGAGCCAAAAGCUCCAGAGUUCAUUCCUUUAGAUUCAGGAGCAUUUAAGUUGUCGAAAGAGGGUUUUGUGCUUCUCCAGUUUGCUCCUGCUGUUGGGGUUCGACAAUAUGAUUGGAGCCGAAAGCAAGUAUUCUCAUUAUCAGUGACUGAAAUUGGGACACUAAUAAACCUUGGUGCAAGGGAAUCAUGUGAAUUUUUUCAUGACCCAUUUAAAGGAAAAAGCGAAGAAGGAAAAGUUAGGAAGCUUUUGAAAGCUGAGCCCCUUCCAGAUGGUUCUGGCCAUUUCUUUAAUCUCAGUGUCCAGAAUAAGCUCUCUAACAUUGAUGAGAGCAUUUAUAUUCCUAUUACCAAAGCGGAGUUUACAGUUCUAAUCUCAGCCUUCAAUUUUAUCUUGCCAUACCUUAUUGGUUGGCAUGCUUUUGCUGAUUCCACUAAACCAAAUGAUCCUGGUCGUGUCAGCAAUGCCAAUCUUAAAUAUGGGGCUGACUUGGAGUGGAGCAGAUAGUAUUCCUCAUUCUCUUUAGAAGACAGAAAGAAAGGAACUGUAGGAGACCUUGGAAUUCCGAUGCGGUCGUCAAUUUCCUCAUAAAUCAAUUUAUCCCAGUCCACUCCUGGAGAAAUCCUCCCAGAAGUUUUGGUAACAGCAGCUAGCUAUUAGCAAAGAAUUUGGGAUUCUACACUAUGUAGACGUGAAGUAAAGAUGUUGCUCCAAGAAUGGAGAGAUGACGACCAGCUUGUUGACUGUUAGUGAGCAACGGCCGGCUUCACCUGUGGAGGUGUGAGAAUGUACUUCACGGAGCAUGUCAACCCGGUUUCGCUCAUCGUGAAGUAAGUGCAUUCAUUCAGUCUUCACCGUGCCAUCAAGGGUGGGGUGGGGGGUAUCGAGGGCCAAAAUGUAUAUUGUGUGGCAUCUGCAUCCCUAAUCCAUCUGAUUAAUUCACCUGCAAUCCUAUAUGGGAGAUUGGACUGCAGUUUGACAGCAUGAUCAAAGCUCAGUGUUAAGAAUCCAGGUAUCUAAAUACACCAAAGGUUUUUAGAGUACCAUUCUAACGGCUAUUAGUGUUAAGAAUCCAGGCCCCAACAGUAAUGCCCUUAUUGCACCUGCUUAGUACCCGUU
Molecule: RNA transcript, 1498 nt
Organism: Nelumbo nucifera (sacred lotus)
Lineage: Eukaryota; Viridiplantae; Streptophyta; Magnoliopsida; Proteales; Nelumbonaceae
Gene name: single-stranded DNA-binding protein WHY1, chloroplastic-like
Source: RefSeq, a predicted model, not a curated record